This is a long non-coding RNA of Meleagris gallopavo (turkey), 699 nucleotides long. RefSeq lists it as uncharacterized. The record is from RefSeq and is a predicted model, not a curated record. Lineage: Eukaryota; Metazoa; Chordata; Aves; Galliformes; Phasianidae.
CCAUGGUGAAGAGGAGACAAUGCUCACACAGAGAGACUGCAGAUAAAGCCUUCUGACCUUACCACGAUGGCCAGAACUCUGUGCAAAGCAGGGCAUCCAAGAGGUCAGAGAGCAGGAGGCACAGCUCGUUACACCAGGCAACGAGAUAACAGAGGCCAAACAUAAAAGAAGCAUGGGACAGGAGUGAGCCAUGUAAAUAUUACACUGGAAUAUGUGUCUGGACAUGGAAAAGUGAAGAAGAUAAAGGAAAAAAAUGGAGGAUGCAAAAGAAUUACAAAAGGUGUAUGUGUCCUUGCAUGAAAUGUCAGCCAUGGAGAACUGCAAGUAAGAAGGAAUUUUAGCACAGAGUUGAUAUAAAUCAGCCCAGACUUGGUUUGGAAAGAGUCACCGAAGGGAAUCACAGAAUCAUAAAAUUGUAGGGAUUGGAAGGGACCUCUGGAGAUCAAUGAGCUCAACUCUCUGAUAAAGCAUGUGCCCUACAGCAGGUAGAUGUCCAAAUGGGUCUUCAAUAUCUGCACAGGAGUCUACCUCUCUGGGCAGCUUGUUCCAAUGUUCUCGCACCCUCACAGGAAAGAAGUUCUUCCGUGUGUUGGUUAUGGAGCUUCCUGUGUUCCAGGUUCUUCCCUUUGAGAUAAUAAUUGAAAAUUACAGAUUGAUACAAGAUGACAGGUGGAAUAAAUGAACAAAUCCAAACAACUG